AAUGAACGUUGGCGGCGUGGAUUAGGCAUGCAAGUCGAGCGAGAACCCGCAAGGGGGACAGCGGCGAACGGGGUAGGAAUACGUAGGUAACGUACCCUCGGGGCGAGGACAGCCACGGGAAACUGUGGGUAAUACUCGAUAAACUUCCCAAUCAUUAUGGAAGGGGAAGCAAUGGGUGUGAUUCCACCUGAGGAGCGGCUUACGCAGUAUCAGCUAGUUGGUGAGGUAACGGCUCACCAAGGCUACGACGCUUAGGGGGUGUGAGAGCAUGGCCCCCACCACUGGCACUGAGACACUGGCCAGACACCUACGGGUGGCUGCAGUCGAGAAUCUUCGGCAAUGGACGCAAGUCUGACCGAGCGACGCCGCGUGUGGGAUGAAGGCCUUCGGGUUGUAAACCACUGUCAGAGGGAUGAAGUGUACGAGAGUUAUCUCUUGUAUUUGACAGAGCCUCAGAGGAAGCACGGGCUAAGUUCGUGCCAGCAGCCGCGGUAAU
RNAcentral lists this ribosomal RNA (496 nucleotides) under uncultured bacterium. RNAcentral's name for it is "bacterial SSU rRNA". It matches the Rfam family "Bacterial small subunit ribosomal RNA", at positions 29 to 524 of the family's 1533-position model. The record is from RNAcentral.